CACUCCUACGGGAGGCAGCAGUGGGGAAUUUUGGACAAUGGGCGAAAGCCUGAUCCAGCAAUGCCGCGUGUGUGAAGAAGGCCUUCGGGUUGUAAAGCACUUUUGUCCGGAAAGAAAUCCUUGGCUCUAAUACAGUCGGGGGAUGACGGUACCGGCAGAAUAAGCACCGGCUAACUACGUGCCAGCAGCCGCGGUAAUACGUAGGGUGCGAGCGUUAAUCGGAAUUACUGGGCGUAAAGCGUGCGCAGGCGGUUUGCUAAGACCGAUGUGAAAUCCCCGGGCUCAACCUGGGAACUGCAUUGGUGACUGGCAGGCUAGAGUAUGGCAGAGGGGGGUAGAAUUCCACGUGUAGCAGUGAAAUGCGUAGAGAUGUGGAGGAAUACCGAUGGCGAAGGCAGCCCCCUGGGCCAAUACUGACGCUCAUGCACGAAAGCGUGGGGAGCAAACAGGAUUAGAAACCCUAGUAGUCCC
This 471-nucleotide ribosomal RNA is filed under the name uncultured organism. RNAcentral describes it as "partial 16S ribosomal RNA". It matches the Rfam family "Bacterial small subunit ribosomal RNA", at positions 334 to 797 of the family's 1533-position model. The record is from RNAcentral.